CUACGGGUGGCUGCAGUGAGGAAUAUUGCACAAUGGGGGAAACCCUGAUGCAGCAACGCCGCGUGGAGGAUGACGCAUUUCGGUGUGUAAACUCCUUUUAUAUGUCAAGAAAAUGACGGUAGCAUAUGAAUAAGCACCGGCUAACUCCGUGCCAGCAGCCGCGGUAAUACGGAGGGUGCAAGCGUUAUUCGGAAUCACUGGGCGUAAAGGACGCGUAGGCGGGUUAUCAAGUCAGGUGUGAAAUCCUACAGCUUAACUGUAGAACUGCACUUGAAACUGGUAGCCUGGAGGAUGGGAGGGGCAGAUGGAAUUAGUGGUGUAGGGGUAAAAUCCGUAGAUAUCACUAGGAAUACCGAAAGCGAAGGCGAUCUGCUGGAACAUUACUGACGCUAAGGCGUGAAAGCGUGGGGAGCAAACAGGAUUAGAUACCCCGGUAGUC
RNAcentral lists this ribosomal RNA (439 nucleotides) under uncultured bacterium. RNAcentral describes it as "partial 16S ribosomal RNA". It matches the Rfam family "Bacterial small subunit ribosomal RNA", at positions 339 to 795 of the family's 1533-position model. The record is from RNAcentral.